Molecule: ribosomal RNA, 460 nt
Filed under: uncultured bacterium
Lineage: Bacteria
Description: partial 16S ribosomal RNA
Rfam family: Bacterial small subunit ribosomal RNA
Source: RNAcentral
CCUACGGGUGACAGCAGUGAGGAAUAUUGGUCAAUGGACGAGAGUCUGAACCAGCCAAGCAGCGUGAAGGAUGACUGCCCUAUGGGUUGUAAACUUCUUUUAUAUGGGAAUAAAACAGGGUAUGCAUACCCUCCUGUAUGUACCAUAUGAAUAAGGAUCGGCUAACUCCGUGCCAGCAGCCGCGGUAAUACGGAGGAUCCGAGCGUUAUCCGGAUUUAUUGGGUUUAAAGGGAGCGUAGGUGGGUUGUUAAGUCAGUUGUGAAAGUUUGCGGCUCAACCGUAAAAUUGCAGUUGAAACUGGCAGGCUUGAGUGCAGUAGAGGUAGGCGGAAUUCGUGGUGUAGCGGUGAAAUGCUUAGAUAUCACGAAGAACUCCGAUUGCGAAGGCAGCUCACUGGACUGCAACUGACACUGAUGCUCGAAAGUGUGGGGAGCAAACAGGAUUAGAUACCCCAGUAGUC